GAGACUCUGUGCGCGUGCAUAUCAAUAAGCGGAGGAAAAGAAACUAACAAGGAUUCCCUUAGUAACGGCGAGUGAAGCGGGAAGAGCUCAAAUUUGAAAUCUUCAAGGUUCUACCUUGACGAAUUGUAGUUUAUAGAAGUGUUUUCUGUUAGUGGAGUGGCAAAAGUUCUUUGGAAUAGGACAUCAUAGAGGGUGAGAAUCCCGUAUUUGGUCAUUCCUCCUAGCGUUGUGAUACACUUUCAACGAGUCGGAUUGUUUGGGAAUGCAGUCCAAAAUGGGUGGUAAAUUUCAUCUAAAGCUAAAUAUUGGCGAGAGACCGAUAGCGAACAAGUACCGUGAGGGAAAGAUGUAAAGAACUUUGAAAAGAGAGUUAAACAGUACGUGAAAUUGUCAAAAGGGAAGCGUUUGACACCAGUGUUGUUUUUCCGAAAAUCAAUUACGAAUGUUUUGUUUUUAAGAAGUUAUGACGUCAUCGGCUUGCUUCUUUCUUUACGAAACUUUCUUAAUGCACUUUUCGGUUAACAAGUCAACAUCAAUUUCUUUUGUUGUAAAAGGGUAUGAGGAAGGUGGCUUUCUUUUCGGAGAAAGUGUUUAUAGCCUUGUGCCUCUGCAAUCGGAGAGGUUGAGGUCUGCAGCGUAGAUCCUUCGGGGUUAGAUACAUUUGUGCUAAGUUAUAGCUCUUCAUAGACAUCUUGUUGACUAUGUUUAGUCUUGUAGCUUACUCGCUUAUGCUAUUUUACCUACGCUUAGGAUGUUGACAGCAGUAUAGACUGU
This 774-nucleotide ribosomal RNA is filed under the name uncultured Neocallimastigales. RNAcentral describes it as "partial large subunit ribosomal RNA". It matches the Rfam family "Eukaryotic large subunit ribosomal RNA", at positions 23 to 640 of the family's 3401-position model. Lineage: Eukaryota; Fungi; Neocallimastigomycota; Neocallimastigomycetes; Neocallimastigales. The record is from RNAcentral.